UGCUGUCAUAAGUGUAAAGAGCAUCUAAUACCAAUUCGAAUUCUAAAUAAUACAUAAGUUUCUGUCUCUUAAUAAGUAAAACAUAAAGAUAGAGGGAGGCUAGAACAAGGCUCUAAAUGGGAAGCUCAAAAGAUCUAUGAUAUGGCUCUCUUAAUGUACGCAUAAGCUACCAUGGCUGCACUCGUAUUGAGAUCUGCAAUGAAAGGGCAUAGAAGUAGAAGUGAGUACAUGUCACGACCCGAACCGAGACCCUGGACGUGACGGACACCCCAAGUCAACCAAGGCUUGAGAUGACACCCUAGCCUUACCUCAAGUGCAUGAUGAUAAUAAUAAUAGAAAAAUUGCAGAAGCCACCUAAUAGAAUAAUAAAAUUAUGAAAGUCAAUUUGAGAGUCAAAAACCAAAUUCACAUCAAUAUCCCAACAUUGUCCACGAAAGCCUCUAAUUUAAAGAAUACCAACUAAGUUAGGACAUGCCCCCGAUUAUGACCCAAGAAAUCCAAUACGGCUAAAAUAAUAAAUAAAAACUAAGAGAGAGACCAGGCCUUUCGAAGGAUGAAGGGCUCACCACUUUACAGUUGACCAAUCGAAAUAUCGAUCCACCUAAUACUGUACAGGAUAAUCAAAGAAAUUCUCGAAACCUAUAUCAUAAAAUGAUAUAGCAUCUGGGGACGAUCAGUACAACAAGUACUGACAUGCAAACCAAAACUAGUUAUAAAUCACAUGCACAACCAUUAUACAUAUAUAUAGGAUGUCAGGUAGGGGCAAGGGCCAUAAAUCAUGCUCAUUUAAACUUUAGUCCUGAACUGUGUAGCUCGUGCCGACCUAAAGGUACCCACGUGCUAUAUGAGUUUGGCUUCCCCAACUGGAAGGUCCCCUGUCCAUGUUAGCUGUAUGCAUCGAAGAAAUAGACUAAAGCCACCAAUAGUUAAUUAUCCUCCUAAAAUAAACCGUGCAAAGCAAACACAGUGGUCAUCUGUAUUUCAGGACAAGACCUCCCAAUGUCGGCAAACGUGGUUUCCAGUAUUGGUCCCACCGGGACUAUACCCUCUUGGUGAGCUGCACAAUUUUUUUUAAUCACAAUUUAAAAUAGUUUUUCACAUAACGCUAAUACCAACCAAAAAGUCUUAAUUUAGGAAAUUUUUGAAUUGGUAAAGUCAUGUCAAUAGACUUGCAAGCUAUUUCAAUUAUGCUAAACCGUAACCAUCUAACUAAUUAGACUCCAAAUUUCUGGUAGAAUCCAAAAUCAUAGGCCCCAAAGGCGUUACAAACCUUUUAAUCAUUUUUACCAUUUGAUGCAAUGCAACACUUUAAAAGAUAAGUUAAACUAUGUAGAAUCCUUGUUUAAAGACAAAUUAUAAUGUAGGUUGAGGUUCAUGUCAUUACCAUGCCAAAAUUCACUAACUUUGUAAAACCCAAGUUACCAAAUUCUACCAUUAUGACAAUUAACAAAUUCAGUUAACAAUCCAUCAUUUAAAACAUUACUAACCCAUUUAAAACAAGGGAAAAAGCAUGCAAGUGUUAACAAGCAAAAUCCCUCACCCAUAUUUUGAUCCAUUAACCAAAUCAAAUAAAUAUCAAGUAAAUUGAUGUAGUUAUAUAAUAAUUAAAAUAGGGAGUGUACAACAUGCCUAAAACUGAAAGAUAGAAGGAUUUGGGGAGAACUUAGAGUUUAAAAGCCCAGAGGAUUGAAUUCUUGGGAAAACCCUCGCAUUUCUUCACUUGGGAGUUGGAGAGGAGAAGGGCAUUGUUAAAAGUUGAUAGCUAACGGUCAUGAGGGAUUAGAAGGUGUUUUAUGUCGUUUAAUAGGACAAAGAACCAAAAAGACCUUCCACCUAAUUUAAUAUAAUGAGCUGGUGCCCAGAAGCACGCCACACCCUUAUUGCGGGGCAUAGAAAGUGUGCCACACCCUUACUGUAGACCCUAACUGGUUAGGGAUCCCAAAAUGACCCAGAAUACUUUGAGAAAAUCCAAAACUUUUCCAAAUCACUCCUUUAACAUCUCUUAUCAUCUUUCAAGUAAAAUAUAUGAUUAUUAUACAUGUGGAAAUGUCAAAAAUAAAUCAGUUGAAAGUUUUUCCUGGGUCUUACAUUAUCCCCCCACCCCCAAUAGGAUCAUUCAUUCCCAAGUAAGAAGUUAAGACACCCUUGGCACGAUCGUAUAAUGAAUAUAUUGGAAUUCAAGGACAUUCAAAAUUCAACAAGAGAAAAGUAAAAUUCGUGCCUUAAGCACUGUAGUCCAAUAUUGGAAAAAACAAUGGGUACUUGGCUUUCAUAUCCUCUUCUGAUUCCCAUGUAGUUUUUCAGCCCUUUAGUUCCUCCAAAGCACCUUCACCGAAGCUAUUUCCUUAGCUCUCAUCUUUCAACUUAUCUAUCCAAGAUUUCAGCCAAAAUUUCCUCAUAAAAUAAUGAAUCUUUAAUGCCAAUAUCCUCAAUGACCCUAUCAAGGAAGGAUGACGCACACACUUCUUAAGCAUAGACACAUGAAAAAUGAGAUGGACCAAGGGAAAAUUCACUGGUAAGUCUAAUUCAUAAGCAACAUUACUAAUUCUUCUCACAGUUGAUACAUAGGCUCACAUUGAAAGAAGUAUCCAAGAUAUCAUCACUGAAUACUCUGUAGAAGGAUUCUGGAUUUUCACCUCCCACACUAAAGAAUGCCUGAAUAUGAAAGGCAAGAAUAUUAGAAUCUGAAAACAUGUAUCUUAUACUACAUCUAGUCCUAAAUUAUUGUUUUUCUUUAAAAGACAAAAGGACUAAGUUUCCACUUCUUUUGAAUCUCAUGUCCUCUUUCAUAGGAGAAACCUUCAAGAAUACCCAAUCAUUCACUUCAAAUUCCAACUCCCUUCACCUCACAUCCACAUAAGACUUUUGAUAACACUGGGCAGUCUUAGGUCUUUCUCAAAUCACUUUCACCAUCACAAUUUCUUGGUGAACUAAGUCAGGCCCAAAUAACCUAGUCUCACCCACCUCAAACUAUCUAAUUGGAGACCUACACCUCCUACCAUAAAGGGCCUCAAAAGGGGCCAUUGGAUGCUUGAACGAUAACUAUUAUUAUAAGGAAAUCCAAUAAGAGGCAAAUGGUCAACCCAUCUACCUUUAAAAUUAAUCACACAGGAUCUUAACAUAUACUUCAAAGUAUAAAUAGUAUGAUCUGCUUGUACAUCCAUCUGAGGGUGGAAAGUGGUGCUAAGAUUCACCUGACUACCCAAUCCUUUCUGAAAAGAAUACCAAAAGUGAGAGAAAAACUGCAUACCACGGUAAAAAAUAAUGGAUACUAGGGCCCUAUUAAAACAUCACUACCUCCUAAAUGAACAACUUGGCAUAAUCCUCUCCUGAGAAGUUUGUUCUCAUAGGCAAGAAGUGAGCAUACUUGGUCAUUCUAUCUACAAUGACCCACAUAGAAUCAUACCAAUUUUAAGACCACAAAAGACCUGUAACAAAGUCCAUAUUAAUCAUCUCUCAUUUCACAUAGUAAAGCUAUCUCGUGAGAAGUUUCACCUGACCUCAAAUAUUCCACCUUGACUUGCUGACAAACCAAUGUACUUGGCAACAAAAUUUGCCAUAUCCCUCUUCAUAUUAUUCCACCAAUAAAUCUUCUUUAAGUCAUGAUACAUCUUUGUCGAACCCGAAUGAACUGUAUAUCUUGAGACACGAGCUUCGGUAAAAAUCCUUUCCCAUAGCCUAUCUAUAUUAGGAAUACAUAACCUCCCUUGGUACCUAAAAAUUCCAUCUCCCCCAAACUCAAAAACCAUAAUAUUUUGCUGACCCACAUCAUCUUUGAUUUGCAUAACUAUGGGUUCCAGGACCUGCUUUUCCUUGAUCUCAGGCCCAAAAGACAAUUUAACCACUUUAUAAAUGAUUAACUUUCUAUUCUCGGAGUUCAAAAGGCAGACUCCUAAAUUGGCAAGCCGAUGAAUAUCCUUCACCGAUCCUCGUUUCUCCUCUUCAACGUGGGAUAAAAUUCUUAUGGAUAACCUUAUAAGAGAAUCAACAACAACAUUAGCUUUACUUGGGUAGUAGUGAAGGCUUAUUUUGUAAUCCUUUAGCAAUUUGCACCACUGCCUCUGCCAAAGAUUCAACUUUUUUUGUGUGAACAGAUACUACAAGCUCUUAUAAUCUAAAUAGAUAUCCACAUGCGCCCCAUACAAAUAGUGAUGCUAAAUCUUUAAAGCAAAGACCAUAUCUGCCAACUCUAUAUCGUGAGUCGAGUAAUUCCUCUCAUGAACCUUAAGUUUCCUGAAGCAUAGGUAAUAAUUCUAUCAUGCUACAUCAAUACACAACCCAGCCCAACACGGGAUGCAUCAAAGUACACAACAAACCCCUUAGUACCCUCGGGUAGGGUCAAAACAGGAGCAAAAGACAACUUAUCCUUCAACUUUUUAAAAACUGCCCUCACAUGCAUCAGAUCAUAAAAAAUUUAUGUUUUUCUAAGUCAACCUCGUCAACAGAGAAUCAAUGAAUGAGAAUCUCUCCACAAACCUCUUAUAGUACCAGGUCAAUCCCAAGAAGCUCUUAAUAUUAGUUGGAGUCAAGGGUCUAGACCACUUCUUAACCACUUUGAUCUUUUGUGGAUCCACCUUGAUCUUUUCACUAAAUACAACAUGUCCGAGAAAAGUAACAACACUUAGCCAAAAUUCUCACUUAGAAAAUUUGCAUACAAUUUUUGGUCCUUAAGGGGUCUGCAACACAGUCCAGAGAAGCAUAGCACGAAUGAAACCAAUCCAUUCGUAAAAUUACAUAAAAAAUCCACUUUAUCAAGAUCUAUCAAAUCCACUAGUGUAUCUUUAUGAAAGAUGAGACUCCACACAACCCUUAUAGACUUUUCUAGCCACAAUAGACUUACCCACCAGAGUAGAAAUAAAAAAGGGGUCAAAAAUACUUUCAGGACAAAAACCAAAGUAUACAAGUAGAUAAAAAGUCACAUAAGAUAGGGUGGAAUCAAAAUCAAUCAAUCAAUAAACAUCAAAAGAGAAAAGUUGUAACAUACCGAUAAUAACAUCAGGAGAUGCCUCAGAUUCCUGAUGAGUAGAGAGUCCAUAAAGACAAUUUUGACUAGUUCCUAUCCAUAAAGUAGCAACCUUUACUACAGGAGAUGAAGUAGUGGCCACCGGGACCUUAUUGGCUCUGAUGAAAACCCUAGCUGAAAGAUAAUCUUGCUGCAUAUGACUAGGUUUACCACAAUUAAAGAACCAAUUUCGCCCCUCCUCAUAAUAACCACCGUGAAGCUUUACACAACCAUGACAAAAUGGAUAGGGUGGGAUGAUUAAGCUCUACUAACCUGAGAUUGGGCACCCUGUGUCCCAUGACUACUGCUAGACUGAGUACAUCAAUCACCUAAAGGCUUAGGAUAGGGAGUACUAGCUGACAAAUAAGUAUUUCCCCAAUUCUUCUUCUUAUCGCCUAUCAUUUUUUUCAUUAUUCUGCUGCUUUUCACCCUGUUUUGCAUACCUAGUCUUCUUAUUGUGCCUUUUUCCUAUUCAUAUAUGCUUUCUCUUCUCACCUUUCACCUGCUGCAUCUAAACCACUAGCCCUGAGAUAUCUAUGUCAUUAUUCAGCAUAGCAGCCUUACAUUCUAACACCAUGUCAAAAGAUAGACCUAAGGCAAACUUUCUCAUCCUAUACCUCAUAUUAGGCACAAGAUCAAGAGGAUAACAGGACAAUUGAGUGACCUUCAGUAAAUAUUCCUUAACACUUAUUUUACCCUACUUUAGAUUAAUAAACUCUUUACCUUAGUUUCCUUUAACUCUAGAGGAAAAAAGUGAUCACGAAAAGCACCCAUGAAAUCUUCCCAUACUUUUGGCCCUAUAUCUUCACCUAUUAGCAUUUCCCACUCCUUAUACCACUAAUAAGCCACUUCCUUCAAUUGAUAAUCUACAAACUCCACACCCUUUGAAUUACUAGUAUGCAUAACCCUAAAGAUAUUUUCCAUCUCAUCAAUAAACCCCUGAGGAUCUUCCUCAACCUUGGAAGAUGUAAAUUUUGGGGGAUUCAACCUCAUAAAAUGAUUAACUCAUAUGAACUCAGAUGAGCUAGUAACAUGACCCAUAUGAUCAUAAUGUCGGGACUGGGAUGCCAUAAUCUGAUGAAGCAUAUAAAUAGACUAAUGGAACUCUGCAUUAGAUAUAUCUUUCUCAGGGGACUGAGUAUGAGUAUCGCUAGCCUAGAAAGCUCGAUGAGGAAUAGAAGGGACCGAUGGAACCCUAGGUGGAGCGGUACAGACAGGAGUACAGACCCUACACAUGGUCUACAUACUAUUAGUAAGACAAACUUCCUCUAUAUUUUCCCCAUUUAGGAUGGAGGUUCCAACUGAGUUCCUGUGACCGUCAAUUCUUUGGAGAGGCAUGAUCUAAAACGCGAGUAAGAAAAAAGUUUGAGAAUAAUUUAUGGUAAUUAGACUUUCUAGCACGAAAUAGAACACAAAUAGGGGAAACAUUCCUAAAUACCUUAUAGCCUUCCCCUUAUAAGUAUGACGCACUACACACCCAUUAAAGGGACUUUACUCGACACGAUUUUAUGGAGAUCUAGAGACCCUAAAGUAUGCUCUGAUAUUAAGAUUGUCAUGACACAAACCAAGGUCUUGGACGUAACGAGAAACCCCAAGCUAACCAAGGCCUAAGAUUAUCCCCUUAGCCUUACCUCAAGAGCAUAAUAAUAAUAAUAGCAGAAAACUUACGGAAGCCACCCAAUAGAAUAAAAAAUUAUGAAAGUCAAUAAAAUAAGUUUGGGAGUCAAAAAUCAAAUCCACAUCAUAUCUUAACACUAUCCACAAAAGCCUCUAAUCCAAAAAAUACCAACUAAGUCAGGGCAUGCCUUUCACUAUACACAAGAAAUCCAAAAGGCUAAAAUAAUAAAUGAAAACUAAGAGAGAGACUAGGAAUUCUGAAGGAUGAAGGGCUCACUACUUCAUAACUGACCAACUAGAAUAUCUAUCCACCUAAUGCUGUAUAGGGUCACCAAAAAAGUUCUCAAAACCUACAUCAUGAAAUGAUAUAUUAUUCGGGGACAGUUAGUACGAUGAGUACUAGCAUACAACCCAAGAAAAGGGAGAAAAUACUACUUACCAAAACCAGUCAUAAAUCAGAUGCAUAACAAUUAUACAUAUAUAUAGAUGUCGGGGUAGGGGCAAGGUCCAUGAAUCAUGCUUAUUUAAAAUUUUUCCUGAACUUGUAGCUCAUACCAGCCUAAAAGCACCCACGGGCUAUAUGUGUCAGACUCCCCUUGUCGAAAAGGCUCCAAACCAUGUUAGCCACUUGUACUAAGGAAAUAGAUUAAAGCCACAAAUUGUAAAUUAUCCUCCAAAAAUAAAUUGUGCAAAGUAAACACAGUGGUAAUCCGUAUUUCAGGACAAGACCUCCCAACGUCGACAAGCAUGGUUUACUGUGUUGGUCCCCCAGGAAUACACCUUCUUGGUGACCUACACAAUUUUUUUAAGCCCAAUUUAAAAUAAUUUUGCACAUAACACUUACCAAACAAGGAGUCUUUAUUUAAGGCAUCUCCAAAUUGAUAUCCUCAUACCAAUAGACUUGCAAGCUAUUCCAAUUAUGUCAAACCAUAACCAUCUAACCGAUUAGACUCUAAAUUUUUGGUUUAAAAUCCAAAAUCAUAGCUCCCAAGGAUUUUCCAAACCUUUUCAUCCUUUUUACCAAUUAAUGUAAUGCAACGUUUCAAAAGAUAAGUUAAACUAUGUAGAAUCCUUGUUUAAAGCCAAUAUUAUAAUGUGGCUUGAGUUUCAUGUCAUUACCAUGCUUAAAUUUACCAACUUUGUGAAACCCAAGUUACCAAAUUCCACCAUUAUCACAAUGCAGAAAUUCAGUUCACAAUCCAUCAUUUAAAUCAUGAAUAACCCAUUUAAAAUAAGGGAAAAACCAUGCUAGGGAUAAUAAGCAAAAUCCUUUAAUGCUAGUUUAAUCCAUCAACCAAAAACACAUAAAUAUCUUGUAAAUUGAUGAAAUUAUUUAAUAAUUAAAAUAGGGAGUGUACAACAUGCCUGAAUGAUGAAAUAAUUUGGGGAGGAAUUAGAGUUUAGAAACCUGAAGGAUUGAAUUCUUAGGAAAACCCUUGUAUUUCUUGGCUUGGGAGUUGGAGAGCAGAAAAGGAAUGUUAAAAGUUGAUAACUGAUGGUCAUGAGGGAUUAGAAGGAAUUUUAUAUCGUUUAAUAGGGCAAAGGAUGAAAGAGUCCUUGACCCCAAUUGAAAAAACAAACUAGGCGAUUUUUUUUGCCAAAAAACGUGCCACACCCUUAUCACGGAUCCACACUAGUUUGGGUCCCAAAAUAACCCCAAACUCUUUCCAAAAAUUCCAAAACGUUCCCAAAUCACCCCUGUAACAUACCUUAUCAUCUUUCAAGUAAAAAAUAUUAUUACACACACGGGAAGGUCCAAAAUAAUUUAGCCAAAAAAUUUUCCUGUGGUCUUAUAGUACAAUCCACUUGUACUUAAUACAUAUGAUUGGCCUACUGAGCAAAGUAUAAAACUCUACAAGUAAAAGAUUUUAUGAGAAUCCUUCUACCUACAAGCAAAAAAUUUCCAAACCACGGCUUACAACAUCUCCACUUACAGUUCUACUAUAUAAAUUUAAAAAAGAAUAACUACACAUGGAUUAUAUAAAGAAAGAAAGUACACGGUAAUAAAUGUAUAGUAAAAGUAGAAAUGAUGCAAUGCAGUACAAUAAUGACAAUAUAAACUAUCACAUAGCCUCGUCUAUGUCUUCUGAGCCUACUUACUUUAUGUAGGACCAUAUACUUUCACAAUCUCAAAUCUUAAGUAUCUAUCACCUUAUCGACAUAUUUUCCCAAUUAAGGAUUUUGUAAAGUAUUUCAUUUCUUUCAAAAAUCUAUGUGUCUUAGUGAUACUAAUCUCAUGAAUAUUUAUAGAUGAAAUUAGGAGGUAAUGCUCACAAUCAAUCAGUAUAAAGAUAAUAACCAAUUCAAACAGGUAUAAUAAAUGAGCUCAAAAUCAACUCAAUAUGUCAAUAAUGCAUGAUAUAAUCCCUCGCAAGGCACCACUGUAAUAAAUAGUCAUAUAAAACAAUAAUAAUAUCAUUUCAAAACCUCUCGCUCGGGCAUUACUAUAAUGAUAGAGGAAAAUAAUGUUUAAAUAAGGUAAUAUUAGAUAAAGUCCACACACUGACAAUAUGAUAAUAAUAAUAAUAACCUCAAAAUACAACUUCCAUGCCCAAUUCCUUAUCUCAUUGCAUGAUUUAUAUGAAUGGUUAACUAUCCAGUGUAUCUGAAUAAAGUUAAGUUAUAACUGUUGGGUUCAUAGAAGUGUGAAUGGAAAAUGGAGAAAAAAUAGCAGAGAAGAGGAGACACCAAUUUGGAAAAGUGUACUCCAAAAAUUAAAAAGUUCACUAAUUCUCCCACAUUGGUGGGAGAAGGGAACUUUGGAGUGUUUAUAAUGAUGAAUACUUACUCCACAUGAUAAGUGAGGCAAGAAAUAAGAGAUGCCUCAUGCCGUCAUCUUCGCUCGCUCUCUCGGCUUUAGCUUUGGCUUCGGAUUUGGAUUUGGAUUUGUUAAAUGAUCGAUCGAUGAGAUCUAUGUUUUUGGACAAACUUAAUUUGAUGAAAUCUGAUUGAUACUCUAUUUAUAUGCAUGCAGUAAUAGUAACAGAUACAAUAUUUUGACAGAACUGAUGCACUGUUUUGACUGAGCUGAUGCGCUAUUUUUGAACUAAUGUACUAUUUUUUUAAACUAAACUGAUGCAUGCACUGAACUGAUAUACUAUUUCUGUUUCGACUGAACAGAUGCAAUUCUUCAAUGAAGUGAUGCACUGUUUUGAACAGCUGCACUGUUUGGUGAAAUGGUAUACUGCUUCAGCAAAAAUGCUGCAGACAUGUAUUUUCAGAAACAUCACACCAUUUAAGUGAACUAAUGCCACCUUUUCGAAGAGGCAUCUGCUAGGCUAUAUAAACCUGCUUUCCUUCACAGGUUUUUAUAUGAAAUUUUUAGAAUAAAAACUCUCUUCUUUUCUUUACAAAUAUUUUGUGUGAUGAAUUAAAACGUUCUGUGCAUUCGAAGAAUCCGCCUAUUUGAGGUACCGCUAUGGUCGGAUUGAAGGCCAUUUUAUCCUAGGAGGAAGAUUCCAUAACCUCGGGUACAGUGAGGGAAAUUAUUCCUUAAGGAAAGUCCGUGAAUUUGGACGACUUGGUCUUAUUCAUUUCUGUUUCAUCUAUUUUCUAAGAAAUAAAAUGCACCUCUUGGAAAGGUCAUUUUGAUCUUGUGUUGAGGGUAUUUGAUAUACUUUAUUGUGUUUUUGUUUAUAUACUUGAAUUUUAGUUUAAGUUGUUAUUUCUACUAUACUGAUUCUGCAUACCCGUAGAAGGAAUAUAACAAUCUUAAGGAAUAAAUUUACAGAAUCUGUAGAACUUAUUUUUGGAGAUUAAAGCUUAGGAUGUCUACUCCACUUGAAUUUAACUAGUGAUAAGAAGACACAAAAACUUCAUCACAAGUUAAAGUUCACUUGGUUGACGAUUUGAAGUUAUAAAAACUUCAGCGUUAACUAGAAACAAGAAGAAAAGUUGAAAAGUUAUUUAACUUUAUAAAUAGUAUUCUAAAAAAUACUAAAUUUUUCUUUCUUGUGUUGAUAGAAAAAAUGACAAGUGAUAGUCAAAUGCAAGAUGCGACAAUGUCUAUGGGGGCAACUAAUAUUUCCACAUCAAGUCGCACAAAUGCUCCGCCAACAACGGCACCGGCGGAGAAGCCCAAAAUAUUUUGGGCAUUGACUUCAAAAGGUGGCAACAAAAGAUGUUCUUUUACCUUACCACUUUAUGUCUACAACGGUUCACUAGCGAAGCCACUCCUGAGGUGCUCGAGGGAACCUCAGACAAAGACCACUUUGUUAUUGUAGAAGCUUGGAAACAUUCGGACUUCCUUUGCAGGAAUUAUAUUCUGAGUCGUCUCCAAGACGACCUCUACAAUGUUUAUAGUGGAGCCAAGACAUCAAAGGAACUGUGGGGGGCACUUGAAAAAAAUAUAAGAUGGAGGAUGUGGGAAUUAAGAAAUUCCUUAUUGCACGGUUCUUGGACUUCAAAAUGAUAGAUAGCAAAUCUAUUGUCUCUCAAGUACAUAAGUUGCAAGUCAUCAUACAUGAUCUCCUAACAGAAGGUAAAUCUUAGAAAAAUACCUUAGUUGAACAAAUUAAAAAUAUUCUUAAUACUCACAUAAAUUAUUUUGUAGGCUUAAUUGUGAAUGAUGCUUUCCAAGUAGCAACGAUAGUUGACAAACUACCACCUUUGUUGUAAGACUUCAAAAACUACUUAAAGCAUAAAUGUAAGGAGAUGACUGUUGAAUAUAUUAUUAUCCAACUUCGUAUUGAAGAGGAUAAUAAAGCUGCCAAAAGAAGGUCAACGGGGAAUUCUACAAUUAAUGGAGCACAUAUUGUAGAAGAUGACCAAAACAAUUCCAAGAAAAGAAAGAAAGCUGAACAAGGAAGCAAUUAACCCAAGAAAAAGUUCAAGGGAAAAAUCUUCAUCUGUGGCAAGAUUGGCCACAAGUCCACAGAUUGUCGUGCCCCAAAGAAAGGCAAAAAAUAGGAUCAAGCAAAUAUGAUUGAAUCCAACAAAGAAUGUGAUGAUCAGUGUGCUAUGUUCUCAGAAUGCAACUUGACGGGGAAUCCUCAUGAAUGGUGGAUGGAUUCUGGUGCCACCCUCCAUGUAUGUGCCAACAAGGAGUUGUUUUCAUCAUUCACUCCGGCUGAAGUAGAAGAAAUGAUCUACAUGGUUAACUCCGCUACGGCUAAGGUAGAAGGAACAGGAAAAAUUUGCUUAAAGAUGACUUCUAGAAAGGUCUUGACACUUAACAAUGUCUUGUAUGUUCCGGAGUUACGUAGGAAUUUAAUUUCUAUUUUACUUCUAGACAACAACAGAUUCAAAUGUGUAACCAUUUCUGCAAAAAUUAUAAUUAGCAAAGGAGAAAUGUAUGUAGGAAAAGGCUAUUUGACCGAAGGCCUAUAUAAGAUGAAUGUAGUGACUGUUGAAAUAAAUAAAAGUUCGAAUUCUUUAUAUUUUCUUGAGUUUUAUGAUUUAUGGCAUGAACAUUUAGGCCAUGUUAAUUACAAAACAUUACGAAAACUGAUUAAAUUAAAAGUUUUGCCAAACUUUGAGUGCAAUAAAUUAAAGUGUCAAACGUGUAUGGAGUCGAAGUAUGCAAAGCAUCCUUAUAAGUCCGUUGAAAGGAAUUCCAAUCCCUUAGACUUAAUACACACUGACAUUUGUAAUAUGAAGUCAACACCAUCACGUGGUGGGAAAAAGUAUUUCAUAACUUUUAUUGACGAUUACACUAGAUAUUGUUAUGUCUAUUUACUAAAUAGUAAGGAUGAAAAAAUAGAUACGUUUAGGUAAUAUAACACUGAAGUUGAAAAUUAGUUAGAUAAAAAGAUCAAAAUGAUAAGAAGUGAUAGGGGCGGAGAAUAUGAAUCUCCCUUUGCGCAAAUAUGUAUAGAGAAUGGAAUCAUCCAUCAAACUACGACCCCAUAUUCACCUCAAUCUAAUGGAAUUACGGAAAGAAAAAACUAAACUUUGAAGGAAAUGAUGAAUGUCUUACUUAUAAGUUCUAUUUUACCGCAAAACUUGUGGGGGGAGGUUAUCCUUACGGCCAACCGUAUACUUAAUAGAGUUCCACAUAGUAAGACACAAUCAAUUCGUUAUAAAAAGUGGAAAGGAAGAAAACCCAACUUGAAAUAUUUCAAAGUGUGGGGGUGUCUAGCAAAUGUCUAAGUUCUUGUGCCUAAAAGGGUUAAGAUAGGACCUAAGAUGGUGGACUGCGUGUUCAUAGGAUAUGCUAAAAGUAGUAAAGCAUGUCGGUUUUUGGUUCAUAAAUCCGAACAUCCGAAUAUAAAUAAAAAUAAGAUAAUUGAAUCAGAUAAUGCUGAAUUCUUUGAAAAUAUUUACCCGUAUAAAAUUAGACAUAAACAGUCUAGUGGAGGAUCUAAAUGAUCUCGAGAUGAACCAAGUGAGAAUGUACAUAAUGAAGAAAAUCCAAGACAUAGUAUACGUCAAACAAAGUCUACUUCAUUUGGAUUGGAUUUUGUAACAAUUUUCUUAGAAAAUGAGCCUCAUACAUUUAGAGAAGGGAAGGCAUCUUCGGACUCAUCCUUUCGAAAAGAGGCAGUCAAUAGUGAGAUUGAUUCAAUCUUAAGCAACUACACAUAGGAAUUAUUUGAUCUUCCUCCCGAAAAUAAACCUUUAGGUUCUAAAUGGAUCUUCAAACGAAAUAUGAAAGCGGAUGGUACUAUUGACAAAUACAAGGCAAGACUUGUAGUAAAAGGCUUCAAAUAAAAAGAAGGCCUUGAUUACUUCAAUACAUACUCGCAGUAACAAGGAUAACAUCUAUUUGAAUGUUAAUUGCCUUAGCUGCGGUAUAUGGUCUUGAAAUUCAUCAAAUGGAUGUGAAAACUACUUUCCUAAAUAGAGAAUUGGAGGAAGAAAUUUACAUAGAACAACCUGAGGGUUUUGUAGUUCCAGGGAAGGAGAAUAAGGUGUGUACAUUUAUUAAGUCAUUGUAUGGACUAAAGCAAGAACCUAAGCAAUAGUAUGCAAAGUUUGACCAAACCAAGUUGGCAAAUGGAUUCAAGAUAAAUGAAUGUGACAAAUGUGUAUAUAUUAAAGAAACACCAAAUCACCAAGUCAUUGUUUGUUUAUAUGUGGAUGAUAUGUUGAUCAUCAGUAGAGACAUUUCUGAAAUAAAUGCAACAAAAUAAAUGCUCGAGAGCAAGUUUGAUAUGAAAGACCUUGGAGUUGCAGAUGUAACUUAGGUAUAAGAAUCCAUCGAACUCCACAGGGGUUGGCAUUGUCACUGUCUCAUUAUAUCGACAAAGGUACUUGACAAGUUUAAGUAUAUAGAAUUCGGUAUUACCAAGGCUCCAUUGGAUGUGAGCUUUGCACUUCAAAAGAAUGAAGGUAAAAAUGACUCUCAAUUGGAGUACGCAAGAGUAUUGGGAUGUUUAAUGUAUAUAAUGAACUGUACAUGACCAUACAUAGCAUGCACUAUCAGUAAAUUGAGUCGGUACACGAGUAAUCCCAAUAAAACUCACUAGAUGGCAGUGAAAAAUGUUUGGGCGUAUCUUAAGUACACUCAAAAUAAUGCCUUGCAUUAUAAUAAAUAUCCUGUGGUACUUGAAGGAUAUAGUGAUACAAAUUGGAUCACCGGAUCGAAUGAAGGAAAAUCAAUAAGUGGAUAUGUAUUUACUACCGGUGGAGGAGCAGUCUCUUGGAAAUCAUCCAAACAGACUUGUAUUGCUCGCUCUACAAUAGAAUCUAAAUUUAUCACAUUGGAUAGAGCCGGUGAAGAAGCAGAAUAACUCUGGAAUUUCUUAGAAGAUAUUCUUUAUUAGCCCAAGCUAGUGGAACUAGUAUGUAUACACUGUGAUAGCCAAACGGCAAUAGGUAGGGCAGGGAGCAUGAUGUACAACGGUAAAUCUCAUCACAUACGACGAAGACACAAUACCGUUAGGGAACUUCUCUCUAGUGGAAUUAUCACUGUAGACUAUGUAAAGUCAAAGGAUAAUAUGUUGGAUCCACUUACAAAAGGCCUAUCUAGAGAAGGAGUAGAAAGAACAUCCAAGGGAAUUGGUUUAAGGCCUAGGACAAGUCAGCAUGAUGGUGACUCUACCUAGCAGACUGGAGAUCCCAAGAGCUAGGUUCAAGGAGAUUAAACAAAUUUGUGUCUGACAGGUUCAACAUUAUCAAAUACCCAACCUAUUCUCAUGAUGUAGAUAAUGUUUAGUAAACAAGGAUAAGAUUUCAGGUGAAAAGUCUUUUAAUGAUUAUCUAAAUUUGGCAGAUUUGACCAAAUAGUUUAAUCUAUAGGAUUGGACGUUUAGAAAUCACCUAUGUGAGGGAGAAGUGGAAGCCGCCUCAAGGAGAAUGUUAGUAAAGGCCUAUUCUCUAAGCUCUCAUGAAAAUUGGGACGUGUUUAUGGCUGAAAAGAACAAAACCGUAAGAACCAUAAAUGUUAAAAGGCCGGUUGUGUGACAUGUGUUAUCUAGGUGUACAUUAAAGAUCAAUGGUUCAAAGAUAUCAAAUCAACUAAUUGACCGAGUGCAUCCGAUGCAUUUCACUACGGAAAGUUCAAAGGAAAACCUACUUAUGCAGAUGCAAUCAGUCUUUUCUUGAUGAUCACAUAUUUGUCCGUAAAAGUUUUACAAAAAAUAGCCAUUCCCCAUUCAUGUGGGGGAUUGUUAGGUUCAUAGAAGUGUGAAUAGAAAAUGGAGAAAAAAUAGUGGAGAAGAGGAGACACCAAUUUGGAAAAGUGUACACCCAAAAUUGGAAAGUUCACUAAUUCUCCCACAUUGGUGGGAGAAGGAAACUUUGGAGUUUUUAUAAUGAUGAAUACUUACACCACAUGAUAAGUGAGGCAAUAAAUAAGAGAUGCCUCACGUCGUCGUCGUCGUCGCUCGCUCGGCUUCGGGUUCGGCUUUGGAUUUGGAUUUGUCAAAUGAUCGAUCGAUGAAAUCUAUCUUUUUGGACAAACUUUAUUUGACGAAAUCUGAUCAAUACUCCAUUUAUAUGCAUGCAGUAACAGAAACAGAUGCAAUGUUUCGACAAAAAUAAUGCACUAUUUUGACUAAAUUGAUGCGCUAUUUCUGAACUAAUGUACUAUUUCUUUUCAACUGAACUGAUGCAUGCACUGAACUGAUAUACUAUUUCUGUUUCGAUUGAACAGAUGUAAUUCUUCAAUAAAGUGAUGCACUAUUUCGAACAGGUGCACUGUUUGGUGAAAUGGUAUACCGCUUUAGCAAAGAUGCUACAGACAUGCAUUUUCAGAAACAUCACACCAUUUAAGUGAACUAAUGCCACUUUAUCAAAGAGGCAUCUGCUAGGCUAUAUAAACCUGCUUUCCUUCACAAUUUUUUAUAUGAAAUUUUCAGAAUAAAACCUCUCUUCUUUUCUUUACAAAUACUUUAUGUGAUCAAUCAAAAAUUUCUGUGCGUUUGAAGAAUCCGCCUAUUUGAGGUACCACUAUAGGUAGAUUGAAGGCCAUUUUAUCCUGGGAGGAAGAUUUCAUAACCUCGGGUACAGUGAGGGAAAUUAUUCCUUAAGGAAAGUUCGUGAAUUAGGACGACUUAGUCUUAUUCAUUCCUGUUUCAUCUAUUUUCUGAAAAAUAAAAUACACCUCUUGGAAAGGUCAUUUUGAUCUUGUACUGAGGGUAUUUGAUAUAAUUCAUUGUGUUCUUGUUUAUAUACUUGAACUUUAGUUGAAGUUGUUGUUUCUACUAUAUAGAUUUUGCGUACCCAUAGAAGGAAUAUAACAAUAACCUACCUUGAAAAGCCAAAAUCUUAGCUUGGACCAUUCAAUGUGAAGCUUUUCCUUUACGAGCGAUCUUAGAAUGGAAUAAAUCUAUGAAAUUCAAAAUAUACACAUUAACAGAGAACUAACGAUUCCAAUAUCAACUAUAUGUUAUUCAGAUUAAAAAAUAGUUCAAAAUCAAGUUCAAAAUCAAAGGGGGUAAAUUUGGAGUUUUAUUUUAGAAACAUGUUCCUCAUAUCAAAAGGAAUCUAAAUCGGAAAACCUAUAUAAAAUGAGUUAAAAUCAAUGUUCAAAUCAAAGAAAACUCAAUAAAAGUGUAACUAGGUAAUGCCCCAAAAAGAAAUUUGAAAAUAAGUUUUUGAAGCUAAUUGGAAGAUGGAAUCAAUAAAAAAUUAUGAGAGUAAGAGUGUAGAGAUUACCCAAGAAAUUGAGGAAGAAUCCCUCUUGAAAUUGCCUUUCCCGAGGUUCUUAAGUCCUAAAAUGGUGAAAAAUCAAAAACAUAAGAAAUUUAUAUUGUUCAAGUUAACACUACCUCACGAUUACAAUUCUUCUUGCACAAUCGGGAGGGUCAAUGUUGACCUGCUUUAAGUUAGACUUUGUAAUCGUGUAGUGGGCCUUGAGACCACAAUGAGUCAACCCAAAUUGGUCCAUCAUUUAACUCUUUGUGAUUAAAGUAUCCCACCUACCGAUCACGAUGAAUAAUUAGAUCAAGGACCACAACUGCGUUACAAUGUCAACAUAAUAGUAAUGAAGCACCAAAAAACUAUACCAGCAGUGUGAGAUUUGUUGAAAUAGUUCUGAAUGAACCCUCAUAUUCAUUUAUGACCCCAUAAAAAUAAACCAAACAUGAUAUUAUAGGCCAAUUUCAAUGUUUCGAACUCAAUGGAACCAUCAUAUUUUCACUCUUGAGGCCCUUUUAAGCUUAUUUUAACUAUUUUCACUCAAAGAGUCAAAAUAAAAUAUAAAGAUUUGGGGCCCGAACUAACUACACUAAUAAUCCAAAAAUGACAUUUUAGACCUAAUGAAACUAUUCAAAUUACAAUUAAACACGCAGAACUCAUAACAUUGUUCAAAGUUAAACUCAUGGCUUUGAAAGCCUAUAAGGGUCUCAACUCACCCAAAUCACUCUUAAAUACAUCGGGAGUUGUGCUAACCAAUCUCACACCAUACAAAUAGAAUAUAACAACUAUGAAAAAGGAGAAAAUUGUCAAAAUACAUAAAAAAGUAAAAUUUACAAUUUUUAUUCUUACACUUGGAGAUGGACACUUCAAAAGAAAGGAGAGAGUCGAUGGUGUUGCUAUGUUUUUAUGUGUUCCUAUAUCGUAUGAUGUGUCUAUAGAUUUUUAUACUUAAAUUCUUAUAAUAUGACUCCUUUCAAUUUUAAAGUGGAUAAUACUCAACAAUUCUUCUUCAUUAUCCAUUAAUAAAAAGAUUCCAAAGUAAUCACAAAAGUGUACAAUAGAUGCAAUCUCUAGCUCAAUAAUCUAAUUCUUACUUUUGUGUAAUGUCUACGACAAAAAAAUAUAGCUAAGAUGGUGAUUAAAAAGAAUCCUUAAUCAUACUUAAAGGCAGAAACAUUAUGCGAUAAAAAGUUGAUAAAAAUGCCCCUAUAGAGCAACUUGUGGCCACAUAUUCAUCUUAGAUGGGGAUAUAUGGUCCAUAUAUUAUAACUCAACUGAACAGCCAAAAUACCCAAGUCACUACUUUGGAGCUCUAGUUGAAAUUAUGACCAUAAAUGGUGAAAAACUUGCCACAUUUUCCAACAUAGAUGCCUGAAUUGUUGGUCCACUGAGGUCCCUUUUAUACUCUUGUAGAUGAGCUUUUAUGUCCGUAUAUGAUAUUUUUCAGCCCGUAUUUUCUCUUUUUGUUUAUGAUUUCUGCAGUCUAGCUCCAACUCUCUGGGAUUAGUGUUCGUCUUUAUUUUAGCUUCAUUUUAGACCUAUAUCUUUCAUUCUCCAUUCAAUCCAUGAAUACCUAUAACAAAAAUGAAGAAUAUAGUAUUUAAAAAACUCUUAUCUACGUGAGUUAGAGUAGUAAUUCAAUCAUAACGAACAAAUAAGUUGGUAAAAUACCAACUUAUAAACAACCCUCUUAGGUUGUUGAAUUUCUAGGGUUUUUGUUUUCUUCAUGCUAAUUUCUAAUGCUUUAUGAGAUAAACCUACAUCCAUUUCUACCUUUAGUACUUUUUUAUUUUAAUUUUCUUCCCACUUUCCUUCUCCCUCUUUUGUAUCUAUUCUGUGGCUUUAUGUAAUUCUAUGUCAAUUACUUUGUAGGUAACUAGGCCUUGCAACUUAGUAUUUGGGGAUACUUGUGUUCUAUAAUUGAACAUAUGGUAUUGUUGUUGUGAAACUGCUAAUUCCAUUAUGCUUGAUAUCACCUCUUUUACUUUAUUCCCUUCUUAUCCUCCAAUGUAUUGUAAUAACUUGGUCUAGAGUUUUACCUUUUUGUAUCCUUUCACAAUUUUUCCUUAUAAUUUAUUCGAAAAGACCUUGAUGCUUUUGACUUUAAUUUUUUGGACUUGAUAAUUUUCUAAUUCUUACCAUUUGAACUUUCUAAAACUCCUGGACUAUUACCCUCUUUGUGUACUUUUGUGAUCUCCUCUAAUCUAUCUCUAAUUUUAAAGAUAUAUGUCUUGUUUGAAUCAUAUGGAUCCUCUAUAUCUUCUACUCUAUCUCUCCAAUAGUGACUAUUCUCAUCACCUUUACUAUAUCUUCUAAAAUUUUUGAGAGUUGUUUGUCUAUGUUGAUGCCCUCUUUUUUGGUCUUGAAAAGGAUAAACCUUUUCCACCUCGUCUAUUUUUGUGAUCUCCUCUGAACUAUCUCUAAUUUUAAAGAUAUGUGUCUUGUUGAAUCAUAUAGAUCCUCUAUAUCUUCUACUCUAUCUCUCCAACAAUGACUAUACUCAUCAUCUUUACUAUUAUCUUCUGACAUUUACGAGAGUUGGUUGUCUGUGUUGAGGCCCUCUUUUUGGGUUUCCACCUAAUCUUUUAGAUGACUUCUCCACUGUAUUCUCUAUAGUUCCUAUUGUCCUUUUGUUCUUUAUUUUUGAUUCUCUAUAUUAUAAUUCAUAUUUUCAUGACUUUGCUAUGCACCCACCUUAUCCCCAUUUUAUCUGUUUUGUUUAUCGUCGAAAUUUUUCCAAUGAUCUUAUUUUGUUAAUCAGCUUCUUAAUGUGUCUCUUCUGCUAAUUCUUCAUAUUGAAUAAGUUUUUGUCUUAAUUGGUUCCAACUUCUUGGGUUGCCAAGUAUUCUCCCAAAGGACACGAUUUUAGUUGAAUUAUGAUAAUCCCUAUCUAGUGUGCCCUUUUUUCUUCCCAUUUCCUUAUUCUUUUGCUUGCCUUUAUUAUGCAUUUACUUCUCUUUCUACUGCUUAUUGAUUUUCAUAUCUACAAUCUGUUGGGGCUAUGUAACAACCCAAAAUAUUGUUACACUAAAAUAGGAGGUGAAAAUUUCACCUAGACUUCCCUUAGCUAUAUUUUUAAAAAUUCAGGGCUAGUUUUACUUUGGCUUAUUUUGAGGAUGUGAUGGUUGAACAAAAUCUGAUAUUAAUUUAGUUUAUAUUUAUGAUAUUCAAUGUGAUAUCCAACAAGCAUAGAAAGUCACAACAACUUUUGAUAGCUGAAAUAGAGUUAUAAAAUUCUGAUUAUCACAUUUAUCAUGGAGGGGUUGAUUUGUAAUAUGAAAUUUAAUGGUGUGUUGUGUAAAAUGAGAAAAAUUGAGGGGAUUUGAGUUCUUUCCUUGGAGUACUGCAACAUAAAUAGUAACCAUUGCAAUGGUACCACUGUGGUGGCACCCCAAACAAUUGCGCCGUCCUCCGUGUAAAAGGAUACGAGCAUCUACAUCAGUUACACACAAUAAAAUUUCACUUUUUAAACGCAAAAAAUAUUUUCAUUCUCAACUUUUCAAGAAAUACUCUAGGGCUCUGGAGAAAGGCGAUUUCAAAGAAAUUUUAAGUUUUUCAUCUUUGGAGGUAAGAAAAUUACAUCUUAGGCUUGAAAUUACUUUGUUUAACCUUAGAAAAUUACUAGAAAUGGAUUAAUACUAGGUUUUGGGGGUUUAACCCUAGUUUAUAAAAAUUGAUGAAAAAUGAUGGGAAUGUUUAUGAAUUUGAUAUGUAACAAUCAUAGAGUGUUAGAAAACACUAGUUGAACUAGAAUUAUGAUUUUUAUGCUACUUCAAAUAAGAUUUAUAAGGAUUGAAAUGCUAAGAAAAUUCUAAGAUGAUGAAAUUAAGGGUAAGUUAGGGCUAAAAUCAAUGACUUUUGAUCCCUAGUAGUUAAAAGGGAUUGAACUAUUGAAAUGUGUGUAUAUUUUGGGUUGUGUAAACGAAUAACGAAUUGAAUGUGAAUAAAAAAAAGAAAAGCGUGUCUUAAAGGUGACUUUGAGCAAAGAAGUUGGGGUAGACUAUUAUAUUGUAUAACACUUAGAAUUUCUUGACAUUGUGCUUAUUUGUUAUUUAAACAUCUAUGGUUGCUUUCUAGCAUAACUUGUAAUUUGAUGACUUAUUCCAUUUUAAUUAAAUUUUGAUAAGGUGUUGAGAUAAUGGAUUGGGUACCACGCUGGUAUAAUAUGAUAUGUUGUGAUAAUGGGUGGGAUACCACAUUAGUACGUUAUGAUAUGAUGAAUGAGAUUGAUAAGGGUAAAUUAUGUUACGCACAUCUUGUAUACAUGCACUUAUUUAUAUGCAUUGGGUACUAUCUUGAUAAAUAUAUGUGAUGAUGAAUUGUUGAUGAAUUUGAUUAAGUAUGAAUACUUGUGAUGGUGACCUUGUGCACUACUAUAUAUAGUGAUCCAUGACGAGUUGUUUGAUUGAUAUCACCGGUUAUGACUUUUGUUAUGAUUACUUUUAUACUUGGUUGACUUUCUUACUUGUACAUUAUUAUGUUAGUCGACUUAUGAUGCUUACUAGUACCUGAUUAUGUUGUAAGACCCUGCAAGAUCCUGGCUCAUUUCAGCUCAUCUUUGUAUGUUAAAGGGGUUCAAGACUUAAAUUUUUUUUCACUAAGUGUUAGGACUUAGUCAUUUUAAAUCCCUCAAAUUUUGAUGAAUUUAUACUUGACCUUUCCAACAUCGGAUAGUUAGUUUUUAAGUUGAUUUAUGAUCGGAAGAUUCAAUAGUACAUUUCGGGUGAGUUUCAGAAUUUUAAGACAAGCUUAAGGGUGUGUUGAAAUUCCAAAAUAUAAUCUCAAGGCAAUUAUUUGGCGACACCUCACCCAGAGUAGCACUAUGGAGCUCGUGGUGCCCUGCCUUGAGCGGUGCUUUGGAGCCCGCGGUUCCCUGCCCAGUCCGAUCUGUGUAUUUUUUUCAAUUUUUGUUUCUCAUUUUUAAGGGCAAAUGGGUCAUUUUCCAUUGACCCAACUCAUCUAAAACACGGGAUUAAAGCUCAAAUAGCACAAUUGGUCACUUUUUACUCAAAUUCUCUCAAGAAUAAAACCUUAGGAUCAUUAAAUUUAAGUCCAAGCUUCAAGAAUUCGCCAAUAACUCUCACAAAUUCAUCAACCAAGGUAUGCUAGGUGUUCAUUCUUGGGUUUAGUCAACCCUUGGAGUCCAAGAAUCUCUUUUAAAAUCUUAAGUAUGAGUUUUGUUAAUUUAAAGAAAAUUAUGUCUAUGUAUGUGUUGAAAUUUGAAUGCCAAAUGAUGAAUAUAUGAAUUUCAUGUGAAAUAAACUAAGGUGUAUGUUGAUUGUUAUAAUUAUCAUGUUGAACCCCUUACAUUGUGAACUAAAUGAUAAAGCCAUGACAUAGAGCAUGUUGCCCAUUACCAUGCACAAUAUUAUGCCUAUUAUACUUUUGACAAAAUUUAAAUGAAUGAAUGUUGAAUAAAGACUACUUAUUUUGAUCCUAAAGUUAUAGUAUGGUUCUAUUGUCAAUGUUGUGGAGUCCUGGGGGUUAUGAUACCCGAAAUCUAGUUAUUUUACUCAGUUUUCAGUAGUUGUAGAAGGAUCUUAUUCAUACCAUGAGUAGUAGUAUUCAGCCAGUUACCAUGGUCAGUGUGAAUUUAGUCAAGCUUGGUUCAGUAUAGUGACCAGUGUCAAUUUAGUUGGGAGUAGGAUUCAGCACCGAGCGAACUUAGGGAUAGGGAAUUACUGUUAGAUUAGGGUAUGACCUUUAGUAUCAAUCACUGAGUUACAAAAUUACGUUGUCAGUGUAGGUUUGAGAUGUCUUCCUGCCAGCUUAGGGUUGGCACAUAUUUCAUGAGUUUCCUGCCAGUAUAGGGUUACUCUUUACUCCUUCGGGACCUCUUUUUAGUGGAUCCAUCCAGCCAUUAUUAGUACCCAUGGCACGGUUCUAAAACCCUUCCAACUAGGAUUACAGGUUGUACCCCAAUCAAUCUAUGGUGGGGCAUGUCAGUUAGAUGAACACUCCCACAGUUUCAGUUUCCAUACUCAGUUCAGAAUUCCAUUCAGUCUAGCUUGACCGUAUCAUAUAGUUAUCAACUACUUGGCUACUAUAUUUCAGUGUUACAGAUUUCAGAUUAUUUCAGUACUUGCACUAUGCAUGGUCAUGAAUUUUCAGUCUCUACAAUUCUCAUGCAUUCUUAUUCAGUACCACAUGCUAUGCAUUCAAAUAGUUUGUACUUACGCAUAUGAACCCAUGCAUGUCAGCCUAUUUCAUUUAGUAUACCAGUAUAUUCAAACGUACUAACCACAUAUUCUUUUCUUGCGGUAUGAUGUCUUAUAUCAUAGGUUCAAAUGCUCAGAUCCCCGAUCAUACUUAAAUAGUCCAUUUAUCAAUAGCAGCUACUGUGGUAAGUCCUCAUCCAUUGAGGACAUGAGUUUUAUUCAUUUAUUACAGUAUUCUAUCAUUUACUUUAUUGUCAGACAGUUUUGGAGUUAGUUGGGGCCUGUCCCAUGAACUCUUUUAUUUUAGUUGUUAGAGGCUUUCAGACUUUGUCAGAUAGUAUUACAUGCCAGAUAAUUAUUUAUCUUAUAUUAAGUUAUUAAAACCUUAUGGCAUUCAGUUGAAGUCCCGCAUAUAAAUUAUUUUAUCAUUUUACUCAGUUCUCGUAGUAGGUACCAGCUCAUGGUUUAGCUUAUGGUCCUAUGGGACCGUAAGCACUGUAUGGCAUCUAGGGUGUACUCCUGGGUCAUUACAAACUUGGUAUCAGAGCCUAAGCUUUUAAAAUGUCCUAGGGAGUCUGAAUCUAUAUUGAGUAGAGUCUUGUACAUGAUUGUGUAGCACGCCACACUUAUAGGCAAGAGGCUAAAAGACGUUUAGGAAAAAUUUCCCUUCCUUCAGUGUUCAUAUCGUGCGAAUGAGCAGGACAUCACGUUAAACUCUCUAUAUAAUUCAUCUUUUUCUUCUAUUUACAGAAUAUGCCUCCAUGAAAACUAACAGAAGAAGGACUGGAAACCAACCAGCACAUCCACCCAUUCAGGAAGAUCCUCUAAAUGAGCCUAUAUCACAUGCAAAGUUCAGAGCUGCAUUCACCACUCUAGCUCAGUCCAUGGUAGCUUAAGAUGUUCGACCAUCUUCUGCUCAGGCCAAUCCAGUGGCUAGUUUUGCCGCAGCUAGAAUUUAGGACUUUACUUGAAUGAACCCUCCUUUAUUUUCUCGAUCUAAGUCCGAAGAGUAUCCACAGGAAUUCCUAUACAUAGUGCAGAAGGUAACAAAUAUUAUGGGGCUGACUUCUAGUGAGAGUACUGAAUUGGCUGCUUACCAGCUACAAGAUGAGGCUCAUACAUAGUUUAAGUAGUGGAAAGAGGAUAGGGGCGCAUAAGCUGGACCUAUAGAAUGUGAGGAGGUUGCUACUAUGUUCUUAGAUAGAUUCUUACCAUUAGAGCUGAGGAAGGAUAAGGUGUUAGAAUUUAUCAAUCUAAAAUAUAGUACCAUGAGUGUGAAAGAGUAUUCCCUCAAGUCUACUCAGCUGGCCAGGUAUGCUCCCUAUGUAAUAUCUGAUAACAGGUCCUAAAUGAGCAAGUUUAUGUCUGGGGUAUCUGAUUGUAUGGUCAAGGAGUGUAGGACCGCAAUAUUGAUCAAAGAGAUAAAUUUAGAAAGGUUAAUGGUCCAAGCACAGUAGAUAUAAGAGGAAUAUAUUAAGAAAAGAGAGAGGGAAAAUAAGAAAGCUAGAACAGGUAGCUUUAAUUUCUCUUAGCCAAAGCCAGAAGGUGGAAACCGUCCUCAGUUCCUCCCAAGAUCUUUUGUCCCAGCUCCGUCUUCAGCUAGUGCACCUAUGCCCAAAUUCAGGAAUAACAACAAGGAUAGAGUGGUAGGCUCUAAGUCUUAGGUUAGUGUGAACAGUGCUUGAACAAAUCCUUUUGCUAGAAGUGUAGUAGAAACCAUCAAGGUGUUUGCAGGGCUGAAAGUGACGUAUGUUUUGGGUAUGGUAAGCCAGGUCAUAAAAUCAAAGAAUAUCCUCAGGAAGGUCCAUCUAGUUAGCACAACCACCCCCAACUCAGUCAGGUUGCAUAUCUCAGUAGGGUACCGCUUCCAGUGCCACUAGCGGGCAGUGCCCAAAUAGGCUCUAUGCACUUUAUUCCCAAAAGGAUCAGGAAACUUCUCCUGAUGUGGUUACUGGUACGCUAUAGUCUUUCAUUUAUAUGUGUAUGCUUUUCUUGAUCUUGAAGCUUCUCUUUCUUUUGUAACCCUUUAUAUAGCGGUCAACUUCGAAAUCAGUCUUGAAACCUUAACAGAGCCUUUUUUAGUGUCUACCCAAUAGGUCUCUCUAUUAUAGCUAGGCAGGUAUACAAGAACUAUUCGGUCACAAUAUCUUAGAAAGUCACUUUAGUUGAUACUGUAAAGUUAGAGAUGACCGACUUUGAUGUCAUUCUCAGCAUGGAUUGGAUACAUCAUACUAUGCUUCAGUUGAUUGUAGAAACAAGGUUGUUCAUUUUCAGUUUCCGAAUGAACCAAUCCUUGAGUGGAGGGGUAAUACUAUAUCGCUUAGGGGUCAAAUUAUUUCAUGCCUUCGAGUGAGGAAAACAAUAUCUAAGUGAUGUGUCUACUGUCUUGUGCGAGUCAAAGACUCUAGUUCUGAAACUCCUAAUCUUGAGUCAGUUCAAGUAGUAAGGGAAUUUCUGGAUGUGUUCCUUGAAGAUCUCCUUGGAGUUCCUCCCGAAAGGGAAAUUGACUUUGGAAUAAAUUUUCUUUCUGGAUACUCAACCUAUUUCUAUUACGCCAUACAGAGUGGCUCUAGCCAAACUCAAAGAGUUAAAAGAACAGUUGAAAGACCUCCUAGAUAAGGGAUUCAUCAGACCCAACAUUUCCCCAUAUGGUGCACCAGUCCUAUUCAUGUGUAAGAAAGACGAUUCUCUUAGAAUGUACAUUGACUACAGUCAGUUGAACACAGUCACCAUAAAAAAUAAAUACCCACUUACUAGAAUUGAUGACCUGUUCGACCAACUUUUGGGUGCCAGUUAAUUUUCUAAGAUAGACCUCAGAUUAGGCUAUCACCAACUCCGAGUAAAAGAAUGUGACAUCCUCAAAAUAGCUUUCCAAACCUGGUAUGGUCACUUCGAGUUUCUAGUCAUGUCCUUUGGUUCGAAAAAUGCCCCAGUAGCCUUUAUGGACUUGAUUAAUAGGGUGUUUAAAUAGUACUUGGACUUGUUUGUCAUAGUCUUCAUCGAUGAUAUUUUUGUUUAUUCCCAUAUCAAAAAUGAUUAUGCAGACCACCUCAGAAUAGUAUUACAAACUCUUAUAGCCCAUCAAUUGUUCACCAAAUUUAGUAAGUGCAAAUUUUGGCUAAGGUCAGUAGCUUUUCUUGGUUAUAUUAUUUUCGGUUAUGGUAUUAGAGUGGAUCCCCAAAAGACCAAAGCAGUAAGAAGCUAGCCUAGACCUGUCUCUCCAUCUGAUAUUAGUAGUUUUUUAGGACUGGCCAGUUAUUACCGAUGGUUUGUUGAAGGGUUUUCAUCUAUUUCAUCCCCCAUGUCCAAAUUGACUUAGAAGAAAGUCAAGUUUAAGUGGUCAGAUUCUUGUGAGAAGAGUUUUCAGGAGUUGAAGACUCAACUCACUUCAGCCCCAGUUUUAGCCUUGUCAGAUGGUUCAAAUGGGUUUGUUGUUUAUUGUGAUGCUUCUAGAGUUGGUUUGAGUUGUGUUUUGAUACAGAGAGGUAAGGUCAUAGCUUAUACCUCUAGAUAACUUAAGUCCCAUGAAAGAAAUUUUCCUACCCAUGAUAUUGAGUUAACAACUAUUGUGUUUGCCUUGAAAAUUUUGAGGCAUUAUCUGUAUGGGGUGAAUGUUGAUAUGUUCACAUACCACAAGAGUUUGAAGUAUGUAUUUUCCUAGAAAGAUUUGAACUUGCGCUAGAGAAGGUGGUUAGAGUUCUUAAAAGACGAUGAUAUGAGUGUUCUGUAUCAACCGGGCAAGGCCAAUGUAAUGGUAGAUGCCCUUAGUAGGUUGUCCAUGGGUAGUGUGAGUCAUGUUUAGGAUGAAAAAAAGAAACUAGUUUAGGAAGUCUAUCAUCUUGCCAGGCUAGGUGUUCGUUUGGUCAAUUCAGCUGAGGGUAGUAUGUGGGUACAAAAUAGUUCAAAAUCUUCCUUAGUAGCCGAAGUGAAAGAAAAGUAAGAUAUGAAUUCUAGUUUGGUUCAAUGUUUAUCAAUGGAGUUUAUCGUUUUUUCACCCUAACAAAAAGUAGGAUUGGUUAUUCUUCUAUAUUUAACCCAUUUAUCAGCUUCGUAUGUGCAACAUGCUUACAAAUCCUCUCGAAAUCGCAUAUUGUUUUGUAAGGUUGAUGUUCCCUUGGCAAUUUUUCCUAAUUUCUAAUUCGAUAUGGUAACUAACUAAUUAGGGGGGUGACUCAACAAAAUUGAUGGCAUAAAACCAAACAUUAAUAUACAACUCCGGUUAAUUUUGUAGAUAAUGAUAAGUUUGGUACUUGCGAAAAGAUUAGCGAGUGGAAAGCCUCUUUUCAAGUAAUAUUGAUAAUUAAACCCAAGAAAAAAUAAUAUUAAUAUGAAUGUUAUCAAAUAUACUUAAGGUAUCUCAUAUUAAUGUUGGAUAUGGCACCAAUUUCUUCAAGCUACCGUUUCUAAUAUGGCACAAAAAAGAAAAUGAAAACGCAAGAAUACAUUAGAAUCCAUUCGCCAGAACACAAGUAACAAAGUAACGAGAGUUUUAAUUAAUUACCAUAAUGGAUUAAGAAUUUGAACAAUAGCCCACAAAACAUCCAACAUUUCAAACUAGGUUUCUAGCUUCAACCUUAUCAGUACGGAGUACCAUAAACUGAUUCUCUUAUACUGCAUAGAUAGCUAUAUAAUAUGAUGUUCUUAUUUGGUUUAUAUAUAUAAAUAAGGUCCUCAAAUAAACCUAUUUAUAGAGGAAGCUUAUAACAAAAAAUAAAUGUAUGGGAUGGAGAAUCCCCAUCCGACCACUGGCGAAGUCAGCCUUAUCCGAAAGGUGCCAUUUGAGAUUCCCUCGCCAAAAAAAAUUACAUUGUAUUUAUAGAUUUAUCAUUAUCAUAACGUCUUAAUCAUGUAU
This 27652-nucleotide long non-coding RNA is filed under the name Capsicum annuum. Its description in RNAcentral is "long non-coding RNA (CANN_LNC010968)". The record is from RNAcentral. Lineage: Eukaryota; Viridiplantae; Streptophyta; Magnoliopsida; Solanales; Solanaceae.